Molecule: ribosomal RNA, 475 nt
Filed under: uncultured soil bacterium
Lineage: Bacteria
Description: bacterial SSU rRNA
Rfam family: Bacterial small subunit ribosomal RNA
Source: RNAcentral
AGAUUGAACGCUGGCGGCAUGCCUAACACAUGCAAGUCGAACGGGAGUAGCAAUACUCUAGUGGCGGACGGGUGAGGAAUACGUAGGAAUUUGCCCUUAAGUGGGGGAUAACCCGGGGAAACCCGGAUUAAUACCGCAUGACCUCGAAAGAGCAAAGUGGGGGAUCGCAAGACCUCACGCUUUUGGAGAAGCCUACGUCGGAUUAGCUAGUUGGUGAGGUAAUGGCUCACCAAGGCGACGAUCCGUAACUGGUCUGAGAGGAUGAUCAGUCACACCGGAACUGAGACACGGUCCGGACUCCUACGGGAGGCAGCAGUGGGGAAUAUUGGACAAUGGGCGCAAGCCUGAUCCAGCAAUGCCGCGUGUGUGAAGAAGGCCUUCGGUGUAAGCACUUUAAGUUGGGAAGAAAAACGUCGACUCUAAACACAGUGAGUCUUGACGGUACCGUACGAAGAAUAAGCAACCGGCUAACUCU